AAAUUGAAGAGUUUGAUCAUGGCUCAGAUUGAACGCUGGCGGCAGGCCUAACACAUGCAAGUCGAACGGUAACAGGAAACAGCUUGCUGUUUCGCUGACGAGUGGCGGACGGGUGAGUAAUGUCUGGGAAACUGCCUGAUGGAGGGGGAUAACUACUGGAAACGGUAGCUAAUACCGCAUAACGUCGCAAGACCAAAGAGGGGGACCUCGGGCCUCUUGCCAUCGGAUGUGCCCAGAUGGGAUUAGCUGUGGUGGGGUAACGGCUCACCAGGCGACGAUCCCUAGCUGGUCUGAGAGGAUGACCAGCCACACUGGAACUGAGACACGGUCCAGACUCCUACGGGAGGCAGCAGUGGGGAAUAUUGCACAAUGGGCGCAAGCCUGAUGCAGCCAUGCCGCGUGUAUGAAGAAGGCCUUCGGGUUGUAAAGUACUUUCAGCGGGGAGGAAGGGAGUAAAGUUAAUACCUUUGCUCAUUGACGUUACCCGCAGAAGAAGCACCGGCUAACUCCGUGCCAGC
This 518-nucleotide ribosomal RNA is filed under the name Escherichia coli. RNAcentral's name for it is "bacterial SSU rRNA". It matches the Rfam family "Bacterial small subunit ribosomal RNA", at positions 1 to 512 of the family's 1533-position model. The record is from RNAcentral. Lineage: Bacteria; Pseudomonadati; Pseudomonadota; Gammaproteobacteria; Enterobacterales; Enterobacteriaceae.